GAUGAACGCUGGCGGCGUGCUUAACACAUGCAAGUCGAACGGAGUUGUUUCGCUGACGAGGCUUCGGCCAAAUCUUGAAACAACUUAGUGGCGGACGGGUGAGUAACGCGUGGGUAACCUGCCAUAUACAGGGGGAUAACACUUAGAAAUAGGUGCUAAUACCGCAUAAGCGCACAGAGCUGCAUGGCUCAGUGUGAAAAACUCCGGUGGUAUAUGAUGGAUCCGCGUCUGAUUAGCUAGUUGGUGAGGUAACGGCCCACCAAGGCGACGAUCAGUAGCCGGACUGAGAGGUUGAACGGCCACAUUGGGACUGAGAUACGGCCCAGACUCCUACGGGAGCAGCAGUCGGGAAUAUUGCGCAAUGGAGGAAACUCUGACGCAGUGACGCCGCGUAUAGGAAGAAGGUUUUCGGAUUGUAAACUAUUGUCGUUAGGGAAGAUACAAGACAGUACCUAAGGAGGAAGCCCCGGCUAACUAUGUGCCAGCAGCCG
Molecule: ribosomal RNA, 491 nt
Filed under: uncultured bacterium
Lineage: Bacteria
Description: bacterial SSU rRNA
Rfam family: Bacterial small subunit ribosomal RNA
Source: RNAcentral